Molecule: ribosomal RNA, 96 nt
Filed under: uncultured bacterium
Lineage: Bacteria
Description: partial 16S ribosomal RNA
Rfam family: Bacterial small subunit ribosomal RNA
Source: RNAcentral
CGUGAGGGAUGACGGCCUUCGGGUUGUAAACCUCUUUCAGCAGGGACGAAGCGUAAGUGACGGUACCUGCAGAAGAAGCGCCGGCCAACUACGUGC